GAUGAACGCUGGCGGCGUGCCUAAUACAUGCAAGUCGAGCGAACGGACGAGAAGCUUGCUUCUCUGAUGUUAGCGGCGGACGGGUGAGUAACACGUGGAUAACCUACCUAUAAGACUGGGAUAACUUCGGGAAACCGUAGCUAAUACCGGAUAAUAUUUUGAACCGCAUGGUUCAAAAGUGAAAGACGGUCUUGCUGUCACUUAUAGAUGGAUCCGCGCUGCAUUAGCUAGUUGGUAAGGUAACGGCUUACCAAGGCAACGAUGCAUAGCCGACCUGAGAGGGUGAUCGGCCACACUGGAACUGAGACACGGUCCAGACUCCUACGGGAGGCAGCAGUAGGGAAUCUUCCGCAAUGGGCGAAAGCCUGACGGAGCAACGCCGCGUGAGUGAUGAAGGUCUUCGGAUCGUAGAACUCUGUUAUUAGGGAAGAACAUAUGUGUAAGUAACUGUGCACAUCUUGACGGUACCUAAUCAGAAAGCCACGGCUAACUACGUG
Molecule: ribosomal RNA, 497 nt
Filed under: uncultured bacterium
Lineage: Bacteria
Description: partial 16S ribosomal RNA
Rfam family: Bacterial small subunit ribosomal RNA
Source: RNAcentral